GGAGCCCUGGCCUCCUCCCAGGGUUCCACAUGUUGCUCUCCCAAUGUGAGCAAGCCCUGGUGGCAGCUGCCAGGGUCCAGUGCAGCCCCUCCCCACAGCAUGCUGGGGGCUAAUUCUGAUGUCAUCUUUCUGCAGAAAACCAUUAGCCCAUCCCUCCAGACUGCCACCCUCAAAGCCGUCUGCCCAGGCCCCAUCUGACACUCUUGACAUCUGCAGGUCCCAGACCCUAUGAUGUGUCCACUCUGGAGGCUCCUCAUCUUCCUCGGGUUGCUGGCCUUGCCCUUGGCACCACACAAGCAGCCUUGGCCUGGCCUGGCCCAAGCCCACAGAGACAACAAAUCCACCCUGGCAAGAAGCUUACCCAUCUAAUUUUCUCUUCAACCAACAUUGACUCUGAUCUACAUCCUGUAUGUUAGCUCCGUGCUCCAGACUGAAAUACAGUGUUGGGUGAACUUUCAACCAGAAUACCCCACUUGGAGCAGCUGUUGCCUGCCACACCCUCUGCAGUUAUUGCUCAGGGCCUCAUAAAGCACAACGCAGAAAGCCGAAUUCAGAACAUCCACUUUGGGGACAGACUAAAUGCCUCAGCACAAGUGGCCCCAGGGCUGGUGGGCUGGCUAAUCAGCGGCGGGAAACACCAGCAGCAGCAAGAGAGCAGCAUCAACAUCACCAACAUUCAGCUGGACUGUGGUGGGAUCCAGAUGUCAUUCCAUAAGGAGUGGUUCUCGGCAAAUAUCUCACUUGAAUUGAGACCGUCCUUCGAUAACGACAUCAUAAAGAUGUGUGCACAUACGAGCAUCGUUGUGGAGUUCUGGCUGGAGAAAGACGAGUUUGGCCGGAGGGAUCUGGUGAUAGGCAAAUGCGAUGCAGAGCCCAGCAGUGUCCAUGUGGCCGUCCUCACUGAGUAAGACCCCAGCUGCCCCUCCCCAGAGCUGGGCUUCCUUCCUGAUGAGCCCCAGCUGCAGGGUCACUUCCUGACCAUCUCCUAAAUUAGUCCAAAGCAGAUCUCAUCCUUCCCCCCGGGAUCUGCUCCUCCUCCCAUGUUCCCAUCCGUGAUGACCCUACCACCCUCCCAGAAGCCAGACUCUUCUCCCUCCUCACUCCUCAAGCCCAUCAUCACAAGUUCCCAUCAAUGACUUGCUAGUAGCCCUCAGCUUCUCUCUUUUAUCUCCAUCUCCUACUCCACUACCUGGAGCACUACAGGAAACUCACCUGGCUUUCCCUGGCCCGGAUCUCCCCUCCUACACUCCAUUCCUCAACCUGCAGCAGAAAUAACUUUCUAACACAGAAAUCUGGCCAUGCCCAAGCCCCUGCUCCAAAGCCUCCAGUGGUUCCCAGUGCCCUCUGGGUAAACAGCAACUCCCAAAUUUCACUCAAGGCCCUGCUUGUCCUCUCCCCUGCCAACUUUUCAGCCCUUUGUCCUCCACCACACACCGUACAUUUUCACACCACUGUGCCUUUGCACAUGCUGAUCUUCUUGCCUGGAAUGCCCGUCCCAUCUUCUCUGAAGCUCCUCCUUAUCACUCAUUCAUUCAUAUAUUUCCCAAAAACCUACUGUAUGCCAGCACCACACCUGAUGCUAGGGAUACAGUGGUGAACAAGACACAAAAUACAGCUUUAAUAAAGCUCCAUAGACUGGCUGACCAAGUCUUUCAAUUUCAACUGACUGUAAGUCCCUUGAAGGCAAGACUUGUGCCUGAUUUAUCUCUGUAAUUCCGGAAUGCUGAAAGCAAUGAAGACCUCAGUGGAUGUCUGUUCAUUUAUUCAUCAGAUAUUCAUUGAGUACCUAGAUUGUACCAGACAUUCAUGGGAGGACGGUGUAAGGGAAAACUCUGGAAUCUGGUGCUCUAUUGCCAUGUUUCUAGUAUAACCAGCACUUAUUAGCUGUGUGACCUUGGGCAAGGUCUGAGCUACCCCUUUGAUGAUCACUGACAAUGAUACUUCUGGCAUGGGGCUGAGUGAGGACUAAAAGACUGUGGAAAGUAUACUCAACACAUACCUCCUGGCUUUAAUAUUGCCUGGAUUGCUCUGUUCUGUUCUGUGCCUCUACCUUUCUUUCUAGGGCUAUCCCACCAAAGAUGAAUCAGUUUCUCUACAACCUCAAAGAGAAUCUGCAAAAAGUUCUCCCACACAUGGUAGAAAGUCAGGUAUGUCCUCUGAUCGGUGAAAUCCUCGGGCAGCUGGAUGUGAAACUGUUGAAAAGCCUCAUAGAACAGGAGGCUGCUCAUGAACCAACCCACCAUGAAUCCAGCCAACCCUCUGCAUGCCAGGCUGGAGAGUCCCCCAGCUGACUUCUGCUGAUCAGAAGGAAAGUCCACAUCUUGCGACCUUAAGUCUCCCUUAGAGUGGGGCUUCUGCUACCCUAAAAACUUUACCCCAGGCUCUGUGGACAUCCCAUCCUCUCCUACAAUAAACUCUAGCUCUGAAGGGUG
This 2432-nucleotide small RNA is filed under the name Pan troglodytes (chimpanzee). RNAcentral's name for it is "processed transcript". Lineage: Eukaryota; Metazoa; Chordata; Mammalia; Primates; Hominidae. The record is from RNAcentral.